Molecule: non-coding RNA, 957 nt
Organism: Myodes glareolus (Bank vole)
Lineage: Eukaryota; Metazoa; Chordata; Mammalia; Rodentia; Cricetidae
Source: RefSeq, a predicted model, not a curated record
CCCGGGGAAGAAGGCUGGCAAGGCUAGGUGGGCUACCAAUCUCCCCAGCGCUUUUGUCAAGAGAAACAGCAGCGGUGAGCAGCGGUGGCAGUGGUGGCCUCCUGAGAGCAUGGGUGCCGCAGCCAACUUUGGUGGAAAAGAAGGAUGGCUUCUGGGACCUGUUCGGGGAGCCAUCAACUGUGUGUGCACUAAGGCGAUGCUGGGUCCCAUUGAAGUCAGGCUCUGACAUCACCACCGGGCAGGUCUCAGAUUCCCUGGAACUGGAGUUACAGCUAUGAGCUGCCAUGUGGACUGGAAAUUGAAUCUAGGUCCUUAGGAAGAGUAGCCAUGUUUUAAACUGCUGAGCCAUCUCUCCAACCUUCCAGCUCUAUUGGAAACCCCACCAAAACUGUCAUCGCUGGAUACUCCACAUCUAGAUCCUACUGAAGCAGGGCAGGAGCAUCAGGAAUCAUCUGCUGUUCAGCAUUUCUCUUGGCCUGACCCUCCUCUCUUCUUGGCUUUGUUCCCAUUCCACUGAGGCUAAUGUUCAAUAGUUUCUUACCUCUGAGUGGGGCAUGUCAUAGAAGGAGGCUUAGAACCAGGCUGGACCUCAAGAAGUGGGAGAUGUCACGGGUUGUAAUCAUCUCCUCCAUGUGGAUAGCUUGUGGUCAGAGCUGCAGGUUACUUUUACCUCUAAGUCCCAGUGGAAGCGGCUCCCACUCUGUGCUCUGGGAGUGAGCAGCUGUAGGACUUAGCAGGGAAGGUAUGAACUCCCCACUCAUGAAAUGUUGUUCUAUUUCACCAUGCUCUGCAGUGGUGGGGAGCAUGGCCAGUUGUCCUUUUAUCUGUGGAAGAAUCCAACAGCUAGAAAGCCAAGAUCUGCCAGGCGGUAGUGGCGCAGGCCUUUAAUCCCAGCACUUGGGAGGUAGAGACUGGCCUGGUCUACAAAGUGAAUGUCAGGACACACUCAAAACUACA